This 253-nucleotide ribosomal RNA is filed under the name uncultured bacterium. Its description in RNAcentral is "partial 16S ribosomal RNA". It matches the Rfam family "Bacterial small subunit ribosomal RNA", at positions 524 to 776 of the family's 1533-position model. The record is from RNAcentral.
UACGUAGGGGGCAAGCGUUGUCCGGAAUCAUUGGGCGUAAAGCGCGUGUAGGCGGCCAGACCAGUCCGCUGUGAAAACUCGAGGCUCAACUUCGAGCUGUCGGUGGAAACUUUCUGGCUAGAGUCCGGAAGAGGAGAAUGGAAUUCCUGGUGUAGCGGUGAAAUGCGCAGAUAUCAGGAAGAACACCCGUGGCGAAGGCGGUUCUCUGGGACGGUACUGACGCUGAGACGCGAAAGCGUGGGGAGCGAACAGG